RNAcentral lists this long non-coding RNA (2434 nucleotides) under Triticum aestivum (bread wheat). RNAcentral's name for it is "long non-coding RNA (TAES_LNC014460)". Lineage: Eukaryota; Viridiplantae; Streptophyta; Magnoliopsida; Poales; Poaceae. The record is from RNAcentral.
GAAAAAAUUAUUAGCACAAACAUAGUUCAGAUGUUACAUGUUACAUAAGACUUGAGCUUGAGCAACUAUCCUGCUAUAGGUAUAUAAAUUUCCUAAUUUUAAUCACAGCAGCAAACAAGAACCUUCCUAAAGGGCAAACUCCCUUAUGCCGUGUUGUCCUUUCAUCUAACACGGGCAGUGAAACAUUUUAUCAAUGCACAAUAAAACAUUAAACACACACAAUAGUCUAGUUGGGAAUCCAAAUGAUUGACUUUCACACAUCAACAUACACCCAAAUCAUAGAAAAGUUGUUCUGUCCGGAAAUGGAAAGAACAUCAACAAGUGACAUGCUCCAUCCGCCCUUUGGACUGCUCUUCUCCUCAUGCCUCCCCUUCAAUCACUCACCAUAUUAAUAACACCUAAAUACGAAAACCACUUAUGAAUUAUACUGGCAUGCAAAACAUUGUAUACUGUGAAGCAUAGCAAUGCCACUAAGUAAGAUGGGAAUAGUGAUAUAAUUGGUUCAGGUUGCAGCCAUCAAAAGCAUACCGAUAACACGAAGAUAAACUAACAAUAAAUAUAUCAAUGCAUGUUCAUGACUGAAUUCACUCUUUUUCAGCAAAAAAGUAAGAAAAUGUAACCACCUUAAGUAAAAAAUUAGAAUGAGCAAAAGCACUAAUAUCCAUAAUACACACAUGUACUUUGAAGGUGCUUGUGUCUCAUGUAGCACCAAGGCCCGAACCACUAUGAUACUUCCCAAAUUUCUUGAGCAUCUAAAUAUAAAGUAGCAAAGAAGAAAAGAAAAAAUUCUAAGUGAGAACAAUAGUAAUGCUUGACAAACAGUACCAUAUAUGGAAGUUGAUACACAAGAAAAGCUAGAAAACAAUAGAUCAAAUUGAAAAAUAAUGAUGCUAAUAAAAAAUUCAUGGACUUUUAUCAGCACAACCUGUGCCCCUAGCAACCGCACGGAGUCAUCAACCUGCAUUGGUUAAGGUGGGCCACAUGGUCCAAGCUUAGAAUUAUGAACCUGAGGGGCAGCCUAUGGCUAGCAGAACAACAACAGUUGAUGCAAGGCCAGCAAUUUUGAUUGUUAAAUUGGUUAGUUCAACACAAAAAAUUAGUAAUAUGAUGUUAAUCCAUGACAAAGUUAGGAGAAUAAAAUAGGCAUGGUGAUAACACGAUGCAAGGAUCGGACGACCGAACUGGCACAAUUGACCAAAAUGAGCAAGAUCGAACGGCCAGCAAAGAUCCAAAUCAGGGGAGAGCUGUUAGGUAUAAAAUUGCUUUCCCUGGCUCAUAUAAAAUUAGACACCCAGGUUGUUCAUCAGCUCGUCGAAACAAUGGCCUGAAAUGAAAAGCUCUUUCUUAUGAGCCUGGACAAUUAUUUCUUCUCUCAGCCACUAAAAAUGGUUCAGAACAUGAUGUUGACAUGCUGCAACGUUACAUUGUUUUCCGAGUGUGCCAAGAUUCUCUAUCCCAUGCAUGCUAGUUAGCCCGACAAAGUAAAUUUUUGUUUCGGUACCAAACACCUAUCCUUACCCAGCGAAGACCAGUAGUUUGUUUGCUUUGGAAAUAAAUACGCCCUAAAUCAUCAUGCAUAAACUGGUUGAGUUAUGGAUAUGCCGAAUGAAAGGUUUAGCUAAAUACAUUACUAUAACACAGUAGUUCUGAAAUUAUUACAUGGAGUAAGCAUGCUAACCUUUCCAUCCUACAUUCCAGUAUUUCUUCGACAUUCAGACUAAGCUCCUGUCAAUUUCAGGCAGGCAAGAUAGUUCUUCUCGUGUUUCAACCUGCAAAAAUGAUUGGAUGUACCCUAAGUGCAUACAACAUGAUCUCUGAACACAGUUUUAUUCAAAGCAUAUGAACAAAAUAUUAAUUGGACUAAUUGCUGCAAUCAUGUUCUGAACCUAAUCAAGGGAAACAACAACAUAGAGCAAAAAUCUUCAAAUAAUCACAUGGCCAAAGAGAAGCUAUCUAUGAAUCAAGCUUUCGGUCAAGAUGCACCACCAAUAAAAAGCAUUAGUUUUAUAAGGUACAAACAACUGUACCUUGAAGCACAAUCAACAUGCUGGACCUAGCUCCUAAUUCCAUUUAGGAAUCAUCAUCUUCAUAAAGUAAUAAGUAAACUUGGUCAUCCAUGCACCGACUAUAGCCUGGUUGCUAAUUUCCACCUAUGUCACAAAUAAGACAAUGUCAUGUUCAAACUGAAGGUGAAAGCAGUAUACAUUCAGUUUCUAAUUUAUUUUAGUAAUAAAAAUCUCUAUAAAGAAGCAGACCAACCGCUGGAAAUAAACUGGCAUGGAACUAAAUCAGUGUCCACAAAACCAUAGAUAUGCAUGCUCAUCAAGCAUGUCAUACAUUUUACCAGAAUGGAAGCUUAGUUGGUGCUGGUGCCCUACCUCAAGAACCUCCAGCCCACACAACAGAAAUCCGUCCAUCUUGGCCAUGAAUUCAC